RNAcentral lists this unclassified non-coding RNA (318 nucleotides) under plant metagenome. RNAcentral describes it as "partial contains 5.8S ribosomal RNA, internal transcribed spacer 2, and large subunit ribosomal RNA". The stretch from base 1 to 105 matches the Rfam family "5.8S ribosomal RNA", at positions 50 to 154 of the family's 154-position model. The record is from RNAcentral.
GAAAUGCGAUAAGUAAUGUGAAUUGCAGAAUUCAGUGAAUCAUCGAAUCUUUGAACGCACAUUGCGCCCGCCAGAAUUCUGGCGGGCAUGCCUGUUCGAGCGUCAUUUCAACCCUCGAGCUCCCCUUUCGGGGGGAGCCCGGCGUUGGGGACCCGGCGCUAACAACGCCGGCCCCGAAAUGGAGUGGCGGCCCGUCCGCGGCGACCUCUGCGUAGUAACAACCACGCGCACCGGGACCCGGGCGCGGCCACGCCGUAAAACACCCCACCUUCCGAAUGUUGACCUCGAAUCAGGUAGGAAUACCCGCUGAACUUAAGC